Molecule: ribosomal RNA, 405 nt
Filed under: uncultured bacterium
Lineage: Bacteria
Description: bacterial SSU rRNA
Rfam family: Bacterial small subunit ribosomal RNA
Source: RNAcentral
AACGAACGCUGGCGGCGUGCCUAACACAUGCAAGUCGAACGAGAAAACCGUAGCAAUACGGUGAGUAAAGUGGCGCACGGGUCCGUAACACGUGGGUAAUCUGCCUCUGGGUGAGGGACAACCUGUCGAAAGACGGGCUAAUACCCCAUAAGACCACGGGAUCUCCGGAUCCUGGGGUCAAAGGUGGCCUCUAUUUAUAAGCUAUCGCCUGGAGAAGAGCUCGCGCAUCAUCAGCUUGUUGGUGAGGUAAUGGCUUACCAAGGCCUAGACGAUUAGCUGGUCUGAGAGGACGACCAGCGACACUGGAACUGAGACACGGUCCAGACUCCUACGGGAGGCAGCAGUGGGAAUAUUGGACAAUGGGCGAAAGCCUGAUCCAGCAACGCCGCGUGAGUGAUGAAGGCC